This 303-nucleotide ribosomal RNA is filed under the name Triticum aestivum (bread wheat). RNAcentral describes it as "partial small subunit ribosomal RNA". Lineage: Eukaryota; Viridiplantae; Streptophyta; Magnoliopsida; Poales; Poaceae. The record is from RNAcentral.
AUGCGCGGGGGGUCCGGGUGCCCGGGGUUUGAGGUCCGGGUGCCCGGGGGUGUCGGAUUUGGCCGGAAAAUCGUGGGAAAAUGGGGGAAAUUGGUGGAUUUUGUGGAGGGAAAGGUGGAGAUGAAUGGGGGAAUGCUAUAUCCACUUGAAACCAAGCAAAUCCAUGGAUCAAAUCCAACAAAAUCUCAUCAAACCAGCAAAUCACAAAAAAAAUUGGGGCUAUUUUUGGUGGGGAAUUUUCGAAAUUGGGGAAGAACACACAAAAUUAGGCUAGAAAACAAGAUGGGGGCUCCAAUUUCGUGA